AUUGAACGCUGGCGGCAGGCCUAACACAUGCAAGUCGAGCGGAUGAAGGGAGCUUGCUCCUGGAUUCAGCGACGGACGGGUGAGUAAUGCCUAGGAAUCUGCCUGGUAGUGGGGGAUAACGUCCGGAAACGGGCGCUAAUACCGCAUACGUCCUGAGGGAGAAAGUGGGGGAUCUUCGGACCUCACGCUAUCAGAUGAGCCUAGGUCGGAUUAGCUAGUUGGUGGGGUAAAGGCCUACCAAGGCGACGAUCCGUAACUGGUCUGAGAGGAUGAUCAGUCACACUGGAACUGAGACACGGUCCAGACUCCUACGGGAGGCAGCAGUGGGGAAUAUUGGACAAUGGGCGAAAGCCUGAUCCAGCCAUGCCGCGUGUGUGAAGAAGGUCUUCGGAUUGUAAAGCACUUUAAGUUGGGAGGAAGGGCAGUAAGUUAAUACCUUGCUGUUUUGACGCUACCAACAGAAUAAGCACCGGCUAACUUCGUG
Molecule: ribosomal RNA, 484 nt
Filed under: uncultured bacterium
Lineage: Bacteria
Description: partial 16S ribosomal RNA
Rfam family: Bacterial small subunit ribosomal RNA
Source: RNAcentral